CAAUAGCGUAUAUUAAAGUUGUUGCGGUUAAAAAAGCUCGUAGUUGGAUUUCUGCUGAGGAUGACCGGUCCGCCCUCCGGGUGAGUAUCUGGCUCAGCCUUGGCAUCUUCCUGAAGAACGUAACUGCACUUGACUGUGUGGUGCGGUAUUUAGGACAUUUACUUUGAGGAAAUUAGAGUGUUUCAAGCAAGCGCACGCCUUGAAUACAUUAGCAUGGAAUAAUAAGAUAGGACCUCGGUUCUAUUUUGUUGGUUUUCGGAAGUCGAGGUAAUGAUUAAGAGGGACAGACGGGGGCAUUCGUACUGGGCCGCCAGAGGUGAAAUUCUUUAACUGGCUCAUGACGAACCACUGCGAAAGCAUUUGCCAAGAAUGUUUUCAUUAAUCAAGAACGAAAGUCAGAGGGUCGAAGACGAUUAGAUACCA
This 423-nucleotide ribosomal RNA is filed under the name uncultured eukaryote. RNAcentral describes it as "bacterial SSU rRNA". It matches the Rfam family "Eukaryotic small subunit ribosomal RNA", at positions 592 to 1017 of the family's 1831-position model. The record is from RNAcentral.